GCUGGGCGUGGUGGCGUGCGCCUGUAAUCUCAGCUACUCAGGAGGCCGAGACAGGAGAAUCGCUUGAACCCGGGAGGCGGAGGCUGCAGUGAGCCGAGAUUGCGCCACUGCACUCCAGCCUGGGCAACAGAGCGAGACUCCGUCUCAA
Molecule: non-coding RNA, 148 nt
Organism: Homo sapiens (human)
Lineage: Eukaryota; Metazoa; Chordata; Mammalia; Primates; Hominidae
Rfam family: Metazoan signal recognition particle RNA
About the family: The signal recognition particle (SRP) is a universally conserved ribonucleoprotein.
Source: Rfam